AGGACGAACGCUGGCGGCGUGCUUAACACAUGCAAGUCGAGCGGAAAGGCCCUUCGGGGUACUCGAGCGGCGAACGGGUGAGUAACACGUGAGCAACCUGCCCCUGGCUCUGGGAUAGCCUCCGGAAACGGGGAUUAAUACCGGACAUUCUCCUCCUUCCGCAUGGUUGGGGGUGGAAAGUUUUUCGGCCGGGGAGGGGCUCGCGGCCUAUCAGCUUGUUGGCGGGGUAACGGCCCACCAAGGCGACGACGGGUAGCCGGCCUGAGAGGGCGACCGGCCACACUGGGACUGAGACACGGCCCAGACUCCUACGGGAGGCAGCAGUGGGGAAUAUUGCGCAAUGGGCGGAAGCCUGACGCAGCGACGCCGCGUGGGGGAUGAAGGCCUUCGGGUUGUAAACCCCUUUCACCAGGAGCGAAUCAAGACGGUACCUGGGAAGAAGCGCCGGCUAACUACGCGCCAGCAGCCGC
This 470-nucleotide ribosomal RNA is filed under the name uncultured bacterium. RNAcentral describes it as "SSU rRNA". It matches the Rfam family "Bacterial small subunit ribosomal RNA", at positions 26 to 518 of the family's 1533-position model. The record is from RNAcentral.